This 102-nucleotide Y RNA is filed under the name Propithecus coquereli (Coquerel's sifaka). Its description in RNAcentral is "Y RNA (ENSPCOG00000011388.1)". It matches the Rfam family "Y RNA". Rfam says of the family: Y RNAs are components of the Ro ribonucleoprotein particle (Ro RNP), in association with Ro60 and La proteins. The Y RNAs and Ro60 and La proteins are well conserved, but the function of the Ro RNP is not known. Lineage: Eukaryota; Metazoa; Chordata; Mammalia; Primates; Indriidae. The record is from Rfam by way of RNAcentral.
GGCUGAUCCAAGAGCAGUGGUGUCUACCACUAAUUGAUCACAAUCAGUGACAAAUUGUUUUGUUCCUUCUCCACUCCCCCAAUUUCACUUGACUAGCCUUAA